GACGAACGCUGGCGGCGUGCUUAACACAUGCAAGUCGAACGGAAAGGCCCUGCUUUUGUGGGGUGCUCGAGUGGCGAACGGGUGAGUAACACGUGAGUAACCUGCCCUUGACUUUGGGAUAACUUCAGGAAACUGGGGCUAAUACCGGAUAGGAGCACCUGCUGCAUGGUGGGGGUUGGAAAGUUUCGGCGGUUGGGGAUGGACUCGCGGCUUAUCAGCUUGUUGGUGGGGUAGUGGCUUACCAAGGCUUUGACGGGUAGCCGGCCUGAGAGGGUGACCGGCCACAUUGGGACUGAGAUACGGCCCAGACUCCUACGGGAGGCAGCAGUGGGGAAUAUUGCACAAUGGGCGGAAGCCUGAUGCAGCAACGCCGCGUGCGGGAUGACGGCCUUCGGGUUGUAAACCGCUUUCGCCUGUGACGAAGCGUGAGUGACGGUAAUGGGUAAAGAAGCACCGGCUAGCUACGUG
Molecule: ribosomal RNA, 468 nt
Filed under: uncultured bacterium
Lineage: Bacteria
Description: partial 16S ribosomal RNA
Rfam family: Bacterial small subunit ribosomal RNA
Source: RNAcentral